AAUUUGCGAUGAGGAGGAUAAUAAGGAUCAGGAUGAGUUCGUUCGCCGAUGGAGGACGCCAAUGGGUAUGCAUGACGCAGGCCCACGUCCGGAUACAUAUCACGAGCAGAAUCAAGAUUGGAAAGCUGAGAUGUUGGAGUUGAUGCGAAGUAUGUCCGCACGGAUGGAUACUACUGAGGGGACAGUGCGGCGACUAGAUGGUAGGGUUGAAGACCUAUUCACUCUUCUACGUGCCUCGGACAUUCCAGCUUCUUGAUAUCACACCGAUUAUGGUGAUGAUCAGCAUGGACAUAGUGAUGAUUAGUUCCACCAUGCUUUCGGUGAUGAGGACGACCAGACCUCUCCAUCUAUCGCGGAUGUAGGUGGGGUGGGGGGACAAACUGUGCAAGCUAAGUAUCCAUCUAGGUAUCGUCGUACACCCUUCACUGAUCCCAUUAAACCGAAGAAGAUGAAGAUGAGUUCCCCGGCGGAGGAUAUUGACGUUGAGACAGUGCCCCCACUUGCCGGAUGGGAGAUUGUGCAGGCAUUGCCAGCUGAGGGAACAGCAGAGGAUGGUCCCCCAUUAGACAGUGUAACGGUCGAGGAAGCAGUGCAGCAUCACCCUGCUCAAAUGGGGGACAAUGAUCCCAACAGCCCCAAGGGUUACGUUGAGUAUAUCAGCUCAGAAGAUGGAAUUGCGCGUGUGACCGAGCACUUGGAGCACCUAUUGCCAAUUCACCUUGGUCAGG
This is a long non-coding RNA of Diospyros lotus (date-plum), 728 nucleotides long. RefSeq lists it as uncharacterized. The transcript has 4 exons. The record is from RefSeq and is a predicted model, not a curated record. Lineage: Eukaryota; Viridiplantae; Streptophyta; Magnoliopsida; Ericales; Ebenaceae.